This 234-nucleotide long non-coding RNA is filed under the name Nicotiana benthamiana. RNAcentral's name for it is "long non-coding RNA (NBEN_LNC014843)". Lineage: Eukaryota; Viridiplantae; Streptophyta; Magnoliopsida; Solanales; Solanaceae. The record is from RNAcentral.
CUGACCUGAUGCAAGUGUAACACCAGCACCCAGUCUUACUUGCAACCAAUUCGUAUUGCCUCUAUGAAUCUUUUGCUUUGACUAGGUUCUGUUAUUAGCAAGGUUGUAGUUCUCAGACUAAUACAUUAUGAGACUUUAUCAUCUUCAUUUUAUUAUGAGAGAGUUAACUUGUGUCAACUUUAGUUUUCGUUGCAGGAGAAGUGGGGAAAGAACCUCUUAUCUUUCUUGCCUAUG